GCUGGGUGUGGUGGUGCACGCCUGCAAUCCCAGCAGCUUGGGAGGCUGAGGCAGGAGGAUCGUGAGUUCAAAGCCCAGCUCAGCAAGUUAGCGAGACCCUAUUUUUUGGGGGGUGGGGUACUGGGGAUAGAACUCAGGGGCACUCAACCACUGAACCACAUCCUUAGCCCUACUUUGUAUUUUAUUUAGAGACAGGGCCUCACUGAGUUGCUUGGCACCUCUCUGUUGCUGAGGCUGGCUUUGGACUUGAGAUCCUCCUGCCUCAG
This 266-nucleotide small RNA is filed under the name Marmota monax (woodchuck). The record is from RNAcentral. Lineage: Eukaryota; Metazoa; Chordata; Mammalia; Rodentia; Sciuridae.